RNAcentral lists this ribosomal RNA (253 nucleotides) under uncultured bacterium. RNAcentral's name for it is "partial 16S ribosomal RNA". It matches the Rfam family "Bacterial small subunit ribosomal RNA", at positions 524 to 776 of the family's 1533-position model. The record is from RNAcentral.
UACGUAGGGUGCGAGCGUUGUCCGGAAUUACUGGGCGUAAAGAGCUCGUAGGUGGUUUGUCGCGUUGUCCGUGAAAACUCACAGCUUAACUGUGGGCGUGCGGGCGAUACGGGCAGACUGGAGUACUGCAGGGGAGACUGGAAUUCCUGGUGUAGCGGUGGAAUGCGCAGAUAUCAGGAGGAACACCGGUGGCGAAGGCGGGUCUCUGGGCCGAUACUGACGCUGAGGAGCGAAGGCGUGGGGAGCGAACAGG